This 433-nucleotide ribosomal RNA is filed under the name uncultured Pseudomonadota bacterium. RNAcentral describes it as "bacterial SSU rRNA". It matches the Rfam family "Bacterial small subunit ribosomal RNA", at positions 30 to 458 of the family's 1533-position model. The record is from RNAcentral. Lineage: Bacteria; Pseudomonadati; Pseudomonadota.
AUUGAACGCUGGCGGCAGGCCUAACACAUGCAAGUCGAACGGUAACAGGAAACAGCUUGCUGUUUCGCUGACGAGUGGCGGACGGGUGAGUAAUGUCUGGGAAACUGCCUGAUGGAGGGGGAUAACUACUGGAAACGGUAGCUAAUACGCAUAACGUCGCAAGACCAAAGAGGGGGACCUUCGGGCCUCUUGCCAUCGGAUGUGCCCAGAUGGGAUUAGCUAGUAGGUGGGGUAACGGCUCACCUAGGCGACGAUCCCUAGCUGGUCUGAGAGGAUGACCAGCCACACUGGAACUGAGACACGGUCCAGACUCCUACGGGAGGCAGCAGUGGGGAAUAUUGCACAAUGGGCGCAAGCCUGAUGCAGCCAUGCCGCGUGUAUGAAGAAGGCCUUCGGGUUGUAAAGUACUUUCAGCGGGGAGGAAGGGAGUAAA